This 31-nucleotide non-coding RNA is filed under the name Mus musculus (house mouse). The record is from RNAcentral. Lineage: Eukaryota; Metazoa; Chordata; Mammalia; Rodentia; Muridae.
UAUCUCCGAAUGAGUUGUCUGUCGUCUUUGU